UACAGAGGGUGCAAGCGUUAAUCGGAAUUACUGGGCGUAAAGCGUGCGUAGACGGUUGCGUAAGUCAGAUGUGAAAGCCCCGGGCUCAACCUGGGAAUUGCAUUUGAGACUGCGUAGCUAGGGUGCGGAAGAGGGAAGCGGAAUUUCCGGUGUAGCGGUGAAAUGCGUAGAUAUCGGAAGGAACACCAGUGGCGAAGGCGGUGGUCUGGGCCGGAACUGACGCUGAGGAGCGAAAGCGUGGGUAGCAAACAGG
RNAcentral lists this ribosomal RNA (253 nucleotides) under uncultured bacterium. Its description in RNAcentral is "partial 16S ribosomal RNA". It matches the Rfam family "Bacterial small subunit ribosomal RNA", at positions 524 to 776 of the family's 1533-position model. The record is from RNAcentral.